CCCUUAGAUGUUCUGGGCCGCACGCGCGCUACACUGAUGCAUGCAACAAGUCUUUUCCUUGGCCGAGAGGCCUGGGCAAUCUUUGAAUAUGCAUCGUGAUGGGGAUAGACGAUUGCAAUUAUUCGUCUUCAACGAGGAAUUCCUAGUAAACGCAAGUCAUCAGCUUGCAUUGAUUACGUCCCUGCCCUUUGUACACACCGCCCGUCGCACCUACCGAUUGAAUGGUCCGGUGAAGGCUUCGGAGGCGGCUUUCUCAAUGUUUACUCGGCGAGACUGCUGCCAAAGUUGAAUGAACCUUACCAUUUAGAGGAAGGUGAAGUCGUAACA
Molecule: ribosomal RNA, 327 nt
Filed under: uncultured eukaryote
Lineage: Eukaryota
Description: partial 18S ribosomal RNA
Rfam family: Eukaryotic small subunit ribosomal RNA
Source: RNAcentral